GCCAGGCCCCACACCCAGAGGCAGCUCUUUUUCCAAGUCGGCUGGAAUCUCAACGAUAUGCAGUCUUCGAACCUCCUGCUGCACACCUAAGGCACUGUGGUCUGGACAUCCUUCUAAAGCUCACAACACCUCCAUCACAGAUGUAGAAACCAAGGCUCAGAGCACGGUCACUGAAUGCCUAAUAAAUGGCGGAACCCAGGCUUGAACAAAAGACUUUGUUCCACUCAUCCCCAGGAUUACUUGGGACCCAGACACCCGAGCGGUGAGUGUCAGGAGUGGCACUCCUGACGUGAUGCCAUGACCUCCACGGUUUUUUUGACCACUGAGGCAUGUGGGAUCUUAGCUCUCCAACCAGGAUCAAAUCUGCACCCUCUGUGUUGGAAGGCGAAGAUUUAACCACUGGACCACCAGAGAAGUCCCAAGUAGCCUCAAAUUUAACCUCUAUCACCAUGGAUUAGUUUUUCCUGCUUUUUAACUUUAUAUAAGUGGAGUCACACAUGAUAUACCCAUUUGGGUCUGGGAAAGGUAUUUAGACUACUACUUCCUUGCUGACAACUAGAAAAAUCAAGUAUAAAUAAGGACACAAAAAUCACUCUUAGUGGUAUUGUGGAGGAAUGAUUACUUGCUCAUUUAUUCAACAAGGUUUUAUUGAGCAUGUUUUAUGGAUCAGACACCUCUCCGGACAUUGAAGAGUAAGUCAUGAGACGGUCUCCAUCUUCUUGGAGUUUACUUUCCAUGGUGUCCCAUUUCUAGUACUACUCAGAAUUCCAGCCUGAGCUCAUGUAUCAUCUGCCCAAAAGUCUGGAAAUGGACAACGUGGUCAUUCUGGAAUUUCAAAUCAUGGAAAAAACAGGGAACUUAAAUGGCCAUCUUUCAAAAGCAGAAUCAGAGAAGGUGCCCAGCCAAGCCUUUUGGGGGAGGUGAAGAGUUACCCGGAAAAGAGUUUUAUAUCCAGAGAUGGGAACUCAGCUCUAAUGACACAGUCUAGAAUGCUCUCUAGGCUGCAACGCUGCUCUCUUAACAAUAAGGCUUCCAACCACUUUCAGACUAGGAUAGGGUGGUAUUCAUGCUUAACUCUAGAGAUGCUUUCAUUGUGAGGCUUUCUAGAGACUCUCCCCAAUCAAUGUGGAGAGGGGAGCAUCAGAGAACAGAGAGGACUGGGUUCCCCCAGAUGUAAGCAAAUCAGGGGAACCAUGGAAAGUAGGAAGAAGACUGUGCACAAGCUCAGAAAGCAGGGUCACCUGGGCUGUGAAGUUACGGGGGAGACCGAGGCCAUGGGAACCACAAGUGCCCUUCUGUGAAACUUCCAAGACGGUGCCCAGAAAACUUUCAUAGACUAGUGAGCCAACUGGAUUUUAAAUUAUCUUGGAUCAGGGACUACAUUUCCCCAUAGAAAAAUCUUGGGAUGUGAACGAGUGGAUUCAUUGUUUGAGUAGAAGAACCUAAUCUGUUCUCCUUAAAUUCAGUAACUCAAAAAAGAAAAACAAAAGCCGGGAAUAAAAGAGCCCCAGAAGACCAGCUGCCUUACUUCUUUGCAUGUUUUCAUGAUGGGCUGUCUCUUUCUAAACAUGUCAGACACUUGAACCUGCAGUUACCAACUCAUUAUUUUUUCACCGUCACAAAAACCCAGUAGAGUAUUAGGAUCAUUUUCCACCUAAGGAAACUGAGGCUCAGACGCUUAUGCAACGCAAGCUUAUCCAAGUUGCACAGCUGGUUAAGUUGAUUGCAGAACCCACAUUUAGGUCUGUUUGAUGCCAACAUCUGUUCUCUAUUCUCUGCUGUGGAAUCACAGCAGAAUGCCCUCUUUCAACUUCCCGUCUCCCAACACAGUAAAACUGGAGCCCUUUCUCUUUCAUCCUAAAGCCCUACUCAAAAAUCCUGAGCCCCAAUCUCAACCCUUCUUUAACUUAUUACAGGAGCUCCAAGCCACCUCUUUAAAACGUCCUACAUCGUCUUUUCCCAGUUCUUUAAAAUGGGGCUACUGUCUCAGUCCAUCAUUACUUUAUCCUUUGUGAAGCAUAAACAAGAGUAUUUCACUUAUGUUCUGGCUUCCUCUGUUCGGAGGAAGCCUAACCAAAGUGCUUUUUGAGAUAAUUCAUUUGGUGAGUGUUUGUGACCCACAUCCCUAAGGACCCCCUGCUGGGAUCCUUCCACUUUUUCUUUCUAAAUUUCCAUAUGAAGAGAUAGAUAAUGGGUCUGCCCACAGAUCUAUAGCUGCAGUUACUUGGUGAGCACCCAUAUUGCAUCAGGUAGUAUAUACCGAUACCUGAGCAAGAGAGUUACAGGAAGCUGCUGACUUUGACUAGCCAGAUUACCUGGACAUGCAUAGGAAAUUUCCCUGUGCUCUGGGCAACGUUCUGUGUGUUUCCAUUGGCUGGGGUAGGGGGGAAGAAUGGGUUUGCUGACACCUGAAUUUUGAGAGAUAAGGAAGCUUGAGAGUCAGACUGGGCACACAGCAGUCGGAACUACAAAUCAAAGCUUUGUUGUUAAAAGGGAAGUGAUGGCUGGUUUUUUAAUGGGUUUUCCCAGCUAAACACAGAAACUGAUCUUCAUUACACUUGACUGCUUCUAUCAUGAUAGCAAGUGAGGGACAGAGAAAAAGCGAUUGUUCUCCAGGGACAUUUACUCUGAACACUUCAUUAUCCCUGCUGAGGGAAGCUGGGGAGGCAAAAAAUGUUCUCCCAUUGGGCUGAACUGUGAGGGGCAAGGAGGUGCCAUAUGUCACAACAAACUCCAAGACAAUAAGGUGAAAUGAAGAGCCCUCGUUUCUAUGAACUUCUUACCCCUUUCUCGGGGAAAGACACUGAGAUGCUGUAAAGGUCACCAGAGCUCCGUGCACACAACCACCCCUUUCUCGUGGGUGGUCCAGGAGUACAGAGCAAACCCUGUAAUUUAAAAAGUCAACCUAGGUCCUUAGCGGGGCUUCCCUGGUGGCUCAGUGGUAAAGAAUCCUCCUGCCAAUGCAGCAGACAUGGGUUCCAUCCCUGAGUCGGGAAAAAAUCCCCUGGAGAAGGAAAUGGCUACCCACUCCAGUAUUCUUGCCUGGGAAAUCCCAUGGACAGAGGAGCCUGGCAGGGCCACUGUCCAUGGGAUCGCAAAAGAGUAGGGCAUGACUUAGGGACUAAAUAACAACGACAGGCUCCUUAGCAGCCUGACUUGGAUCAACAACAUCUGGGCUUCAGCCCUGGUACCUGAACCAAGCAGACAGAUCUGAUGACCCUCCGCAUUCCCACUCCUACUCCUGCUGAAAUUCCCCUCUUCCUCCUAACUGUCUUUAAAAGGUGGGAAAGUGGGGAGACUUUGCUUAGAAGCUCCUUUGCAAAUGCCCUGCUCAUUCUGAAUGUUUGUCCCUAAGCUCCCAGUCCCCCCCACGCCCAGCGCUGAAUUUGCCUGGUUCUGAGAAUCCUGAACCUCCCUAGGGCUAGAUUUUACUACUAGGAACCGACUGCCUGCCUUCUCAGAAAAGUGUGAACACUGUUCCUGGAAUACAGGGUUUCACAGGUGGGCUCACUCAGUGUACACAAUGCCGCAUCCUCUGGGCUUUAGGUUUCAGUAUUUCUUAGGUGAUGAACCUGAGGCUUAGAGAGGGGAAGGAGGUGUCCUCUGCCCCAGGAACUACGGGACUGUGAGCCAUGGGUCCUAAAAAGCCCCCGCUACCCUGGAUCUUCUGCAGGUCCAGGGCAGCCUGGAGUCGGGGCGCACCUCCUGCCUUCUUCCUCGCCUCUGAGCGCCUCCGUGAACUCCGAUAGCGCUGAGAGGUUCCCGCCUUCCUUCCUGGGCCGGGCCGGCGUGAACAAUCACUUCUGUCCCUCGCUGGCUUGGUCGGCCCCUUCCCAACUUGGCGUGGGAGUCGCCAGCCACCGCCGCCUUGACCUCGCGUCCACAGAGAUCAGUCUCUGGCCCUGGGAACCGCUGUGUCCUGGAGCUGCGAAUAAACCAGAAAUCAGUGCGCCCAGAAGACGUGCGGCUUCAACUGCCCAGCCAACUUUCACUGGCAGAAAGGAGGCCCCUCAAUCCCAGUUUUGCCCCGAACGCGCGCUUUGAUAUUCUGGGUUUUGAAGCCCGGGGGCCCGGACGCCCAGCUCCCCGCGGCUUGGCCGGGCUGGGUGCCGGUGCGGCCCCGCUGCACCCAGUUAGUCGGCGCCUCCUCGUCCCAAGGGUUCUCCCGGCCUCCUUCCCGCUGGCCUACGCUCUGGGACCGACAGUUCUGUAAAUCCAAGCCGCCAGCCCCGGCGCCCGAAGGCCUGGGGUCGGCAGAGCGGUAACCCAGGUCUCCGCGUCCACUCCCCUGCGGUCAGUUUCUUCCUCCGCCGGCCCGGCUCUCCGGGCCCACCGCUUGCAGGUUGGUCGGGACGCGUGCGAGAGUACCCCUCCUCCGUCUGCUUCUCCCAAGAGCACCCCAGCUUCCUCCAGCCCUCACCUGAGCCCCCGAGCGCAGUUUCUCCUUCUCUCCGGACUUAAAGCCGGACCCACAGCGGGUGGAAAAGUCCCGGCGCCUUGCACAUCAGGCUGCAAGCUACUCGUUUAACGAGUCCAAAGGUCAGCUGAAGUUUGGCUGAUAGACGGAAGCGGUACACGAAUAUCUUCAGAACCCCGGCGUGAAUACCCUGGACCCUAGCAUCCCGGCUCCCGGCUCGGGUCUCGGGCUCUCGGGUCUGCCUCUCACACUCUCACUCUCUCGGUUCCCCUCCC
Molecule: long non-coding RNA, 4692 nt
Organism: Bos taurus (domestic cattle)
Lineage: Eukaryota; Metazoa; Chordata; Mammalia; Artiodactyla; Bovidae
Source: Ensembl